AUGGUAAGUGGGAACGGAAGCCAGCUUUUCCAUGGAAAUUUCUUGCCAAAACUCGCAAAAGCAAACGCGCGACGCGACGAGCCGAUCAACGAGCAUGCAUCUAUCGACCAACGAGCAACCAUCGACGAGGUAGGGCGUAUCCGUGUUGGUGGAUGGAUUCGGAUUGGCACGCACGCGCCGGCGGCAUCUCCGUCUGGUCCACGGGCGACGGCGCGCCCGUCGACUCUGGGGGCUCGCUCGGCCUGUCGUCCAUCGGCGACCUGCAGCUGCUCAACGGCUCCAGUGCUGUGCUCUGGUCGCCCGGCACCGUCGUCGCCCUCCAAGAGCGGCAACCUCGUGCUCAAGAACUCUGUGGCAAGCUUCCUGUGGCAGUACUUCGACCACCCCACGGACAGUAUGGUCAUGUCACAAAGCUUUGCCUCCGGCAUGAACCUCACAUCCGCCCCCCACGUCUUCACCGUCGACAAGGCCACCAGCAACCUAACGCUGAGGUGGGCCAUCGCUGGCUCCGCCACCGUCGCCUACUUCAACAAGGGCUACAAUUCCACCUUCACCGCCAACAAGACGCUCAGCUCCCCGACGCUCAAAAAUCUAGAUGCAGACGAACGCAUCGUCUCUCUCACCGACAGCAUGCUCUCCUUCUCCGUUGUCGUUGCCUACAGCAGCAACUACGGGGAGAGUGGCGACAUGCUGCGCUUCGUGCGCCCCGACACGGAUGGAAACUUUGGCGCUUACUACACCGGUGCGCCAGUGGCACGGCGACCGAGUAGUGGUCGGCGGUGGCGGACCAGUGUGAGGUGUUUGGCUACUGCAGUAACAUGGAUCACCGCGGGGAACACAUCCAUCGAGAAACAACCAGUUUCUUCCAGGCCGAUCUUGACGGCCUCUGACGAGAGGCUAGAUCCAAGCGAGGUGGGUUGCGCCGGCGAGGCUCUUUCGCUCGCGUCAUCUCCUCUUCCCAGUGUCGGUCUAGGGGUCUCGCUGCAAAACUGGCUUCGCCCCGGGCUCACCUCGCACCACUGCCAUGUCGCCUCUGCUUCUAGCUCCUCCAUCACCUACGGCGGUAUUUUGGUGUUCCUAUGUGGCAGCGUGACGGCCAUGCUGGAGGCUGCGAGCUCCGCGGGUCCCGAAGACGCUUGCCGCGUCAGAGGUAGCAGGGCUGUGGGAGAGCAUCGUCGCCAGGUUCAACGGCGCGCUGGAUCCUGGGACGGUGAAUGCGCUCACGGCUCACCUACCGCACGCACUGUCGACGGGCAAGUUUGCCGACCUGGAGUCGCUAAGAACAACGAGAAACAAGGAGUGCAUCAUUGCAUCAUGACGCUGCCGCCAAGCACUGAUCGCUGA
This 1344-nucleotide ribosomal RNA is filed under the name Triticum aestivum (bread wheat). RNAcentral's name for it is "partial small subunit ribosomal RNA". The record is from RNAcentral. Lineage: Eukaryota; Viridiplantae; Streptophyta; Magnoliopsida; Poales; Poaceae.